Molecule: non-coding RNA, 1062 nt
Organism: Schizosaccharomyces pombe (fission yeast)
Lineage: Eukaryota; Fungi; Ascomycota; Schizosaccharomycetes; Schizosaccharomycetales; Schizosaccharomycetaceae
Source: the annotation of a GenBank genome assembly
GGUAGAUGAAGGCAGAUGGUCAUUGUCAGUAACAAAAUUAACCUUUUCAUUUAAAACGAUAGAAGAGGCAUCAUGGGCAUUACUUUUUUUGCUUGCAAACAAACUAAGAAAAGAUCUCACUUAGAAGCUUAGUAAAAAAUCGCUAAAUUCUUCACUUACUAUCCAAAUGAUUUUUACACUUCUUUCUUGGUAACCUACUAGGAACAUGUUCAGAACGACAUCUUUUCAUAGCUAAAUCUCGGAUACUUCGAGUUUCAAAAAAAUGUGACACGUUGUUCUACCCUCUUAAAGCCUUAUCGAGGUGUUGUUUUGUUUUUGUGGAACGCGGACUAGAUGGCUAGUGCAUGGUCUAAUGGACUGUACAGGAAUGGUCAAAUAGGCGAUACUUCUUGUCAAAAUAUAGCACUAAAUGCAUUUUUGAACCCUGUAUAUAUUCGAAAAAAAUACAAAUCGUCCUUAUUAAUACAUUUCGUAAGUCAAAAUGAAAUUGCUGAAAUGAAUGUGUUAAGGUAAAGCAAAUAUAGCUAGAUUAAGGCUCAUUUAAACUUAAAUUGAGUAAUAUUUUCUUAAUGUUUUUACAUUUAUCAGUAAGUGCUCCUUCGAAAUGCCUUGUCCAGCUCAUUGAAAUUCAUGGGUCAUACCUUCAAAGGCUGAAGUAUGAAAUCAGGAAGGAUUCACUGAAAUAAAGAAGUCUUUCUGAUGUCUGAUUUGAGUAUACGAUAAACAAAUGUGAAUGUGCAGAUAUGAACAGUAUAAACCAUAGAAAGCCAUGUCAAAGCCGAGGAGAUACAGAUGUUCUACAUAGAUUUGCAGACAAUCCUCCUAGAUAUUCUAUGAGAAAGGAGAGGAAACCUUGGUUUUGCAGCUUCUAUAUGGAAAGUACAGAGGGGUUGUCUUGCUUAACCAAAGUAAGAAAGAGGCAAUCAGAGAAGAUAGCCUACAGAAAAUUAUAAUUCUCAAUCAAUUUAUUUAAGGUAAAAACCUCUUAUACUUCUGAUUCUUUUAGUGCUGCUAUUUAAUCUGUAAUUAUACAUUAUGUCUCCAUGUUUGACCAGACUGAAC